This 622-nucleotide ribosomal RNA is filed under the name uncultured Burkholderia sp. Its description in RNAcentral is "bacterial SSU rRNA". It matches the Rfam family "Bacterial small subunit ribosomal RNA", at positions 69 to 689 of the family's 1533-position model. The record is from RNAcentral. Lineage: Bacteria; Pseudomonadati; Pseudomonadota; Betaproteobacteria; Burkholderiales; Burkholderiaceae.
GCAGCACGGGGGCACCCUGGUGGCGAGUGGCGAACGGGUGAGUAAUACAUCGGAACGUGUCCUGUAGUGGGGGAUAGCCCGGCGAAAGCCGGAUUAAUACCGCAUACGACCUAAGGGAGAAAGCGGGGGAUCUUCGGACCUCGCGCUAUAGGGGCGGCCGAUGGCAGAUUAGCUAGUUGGUGGGGUAAAGGCCUACCAAGGCGACGAUCUGUAGCUGGUCUGAGAGGACGACCAGCCACACUGGGACUGAGACACGGCCCAGACUCCUACGGGAGGCAGCAGUGGGGAAUUUUGGACAAUGGGGGAAACCCUGAUCCAGCAAUGCCGCGUGUGUGAAGAAGGCCUUCGGGUUGUAAAGCACUUUUGUCCGGAAAGAAAACUUCCUGGUUAAUACCUGGGGAGGCUGACGGUACCGGAAGAAUAAGCACCGGCUAACUACGUGCCAGCAGCCGCGGUAAUACGUAGGGUGCGAGCGUUAAUCGGAAUUACUGGGCGUAAAGCGUGCGCAGCGGUUUGUUAAACAGAUGUGAAAUCCCCGGGCUUAACCUGGGAACUGCUUUGUGACUGGCAAGCUAGAGUAUGGCAGAGGGGGGUAGAAUUUCCACGUGUAGCAGUGAAAUGC